This is a long non-coding RNA of Bombina bombina (fire-bellied toad), 377 nucleotides long. RefSeq lists it as uncharacterized. The transcript is spliced from 2 exons. The record is from RefSeq and is a predicted model, not a curated record. NCBI's taxonomy places the organism in Eukaryota, Metazoa, Chordata, Amphibia, Anura, Bombinatoridae.
GUAUUUAUAUACAUGCGUAUGUAUCCAUAUGCGCCUGCAGGUGUGUUUAUUUAUAUACAUGUGUACGUAUGUAAGUACGUCUAUAUAUCCGUGUGCGCCUGCAGGUGUGUUUAUUUAUAUACAUGUGUACGUAUGUAAGUACGUGUAUAUAUCCGUGUGCGCCUGCAGGUGUGUGUAUUUAUAUACAUGUGUACGUGUGCUUGUAUAUAUGUAUGGGGGAGUGUCUGCAUAUAAAUACGGUAUACAUCAGUGAGCAUAUCUUAAAUACGUUGGUGCAUUUGCAUCUGUACGUGAUUAUAUCAGAGGCAAUAAAAGGGAACACAACACAUUUGUGGAAAUACAUAAAUAUAUAAUCAUUAAAAAAACAAUUGAUCAAC